Molecule: ribosomal RNA, 257 nt
Filed under: uncultured bacterium
Lineage: Bacteria
Description: partial 16S ribosomal RNA
Rfam family: Bacterial small subunit ribosomal RNA
Source: RNAcentral
UUGCUUUCUUUGCUGGCGACCGGCGCACGGGUGAGUAACACGUAUCCAACCCGCCCUUUACUCGGGGAUAGCCUUUCGAAAGAAAGAUUAAUACCCGAUAGUAUAAUGAUUCCGCAUGGUUUCAUUAUUAAAGGAUUCCGGUAAAGGAUGGGGAUGCGUUCCAUUAGGUUGUUGGUGAGGUAACGGCUCACCAAGCCUUCGAUGGAUAGGGGUUCUGAGAGGAAGGUCCCCCACAUUGGAACUGAGACACGGUCCAA